GUGGUGGCUCAGUGGUAGAGUGCAUGCCUAGCAUGCAUGAGGCACUGGGUUCGAUCCUUGGCACCACA
This 68-nucleotide transfer RNA is filed under the name Marmota marmota marmota (Alpine marmot). It matches the Rfam family "tRNA". From Rfam's summary of the family: Transfer RNA (tRNA) molecules are approximately 80 nucleotides in length. Their secondary structure includes four short double-helical elements and three loops (D, anti-codon, and T loops). The record is from Rfam by way of RNAcentral. Lineage: Eukaryota; Metazoa; Chordata; Mammalia; Rodentia; Sciuridae. RNAcentral also lists the same sequence under 1 other name.